CCCUAUUAUCGAACAGAAGAUACAAAUUGGAGAGUAGGAUGAAUCUGAAAACUAUCCAGAAUGGCGGUUUUUUUUUUGUUCAGAAAGAUGUGUUCUUAAAACGAAAAUGCACGAAAAUCUUUCUUGUUUUUGAACAUUCAUCCUGUACACCGCCGUCUGAAGGGUAAAGAAAAAAAUUUAAUCCUCCUCCCAAACAAACGGGAAUAAGUCAGGUAAGGUGCAGACUAUAAACAAGACUGAAUGCAUUUCACUAAAAAGAUCAAGGGGAGGGUUGAAAGAUCCUAACCAAGAAGAAUUUGAAAGUAAAGGUUUUUUAUUAAAAAGCCUUGAAUUAAAUACAAAAAAAAUGUACAC
This 354-nucleotide ribosomal RNA is filed under the name Columbicola drowni. RNAcentral describes it as "partial 12S ribosomal RNA". Lineage: Eukaryota; Metazoa; Arthropoda; Insecta; Psocodea; Philopteridae. The record is from RNAcentral.